CCUACGGGAGGCAGCAGUGGGGAAUAUUGCGCAAUGGGCGAAAGCCUGACGCAGCGACGCCGCGUGAGGGAUGAAGGUCUUCGGAUCGUAAACCUCUGUCAGCAGGGAAGAACGGUCACUGUGCUAAUCAGCAGUGAAUUGACGGUACCUGCAAAGGCAGCACCGGCUAACUCCGUGCCAGCAGCCGCGGUAAUACGGAGGGUGCGAGCGUUAAUCGGAAUUACUGGGCGUAAAGCGCUCGUAGGCGGGAUGUCAAGUCAAGGGUGAAAUCCCCGCGGUCAACGGGGGAGCUGCCUUUGAACCUGGCAAAAUGGAGUGUGUGAGAGGAGAGUGGAAUUCCAGGUGUAGGAGUGAAGUCCG
Molecule: ribosomal RNA, 360 nt
Filed under: uncultured bacterium
Lineage: Bacteria
Description: partial 16S ribosomal RNA
Rfam family: Bacterial small subunit ribosomal RNA
Source: RNAcentral